CUUAAGAGGCAAAGGAACAGGACGCAAGACCCUCCCGGCACCCUUGGUUGAGCCCAGUCAAGAACAGUUCUAGCAAGCAGAGCUGGUGUUUCAUUGAAUCCUACUGAGGGGGAAGGCGAAAGAAGCCAGAAGCAAACUUCAGCUGUCUCCGCGGGUCUGUGGUUCCCGCAUUUAGAAGAGCCGCGUGCCAGAAGGCGUAGGAACCCACGGGGGACGAGGAGGAGCCCCGACUCUCCCUCGCCCAUUCCUUGAGGACAGAGGUGUGGAUUGAGGCGCGCGGGACAACAGCGGCAGAAGAGGGUAGGAGAAGAUGCGGGGCUCCCGGCCCCGGGGUGCGGGACGCCGAAGGCCCCCGGGCGGCUGCGGCGGCGACACCCUCCGUACCCCUGCGUCUCUGGCCGGCUGCUACUCCGCACCUCGCAGGGCCCCACUCUGGACGUGCCUUCUCCUGUGCGCCGCGCUUCGGACCCUCCUGGCCAGCCCCAGCAACG
Molecule: long non-coding RNA, 491 nt
Filed under: Marmota monax (woodchuck)
Lineage: Eukaryota; Metazoa; Chordata; Mammalia; Rodentia; Sciuridae
Source: RNAcentral